AACGCACAUUGCGCCCGCCAGUAUUCUGGCGGGCAUGCCUGUUCGAGCGUCAUUUCAACCAUCAAGCCCCGCGCUUGUGUUGGGGACCUGCGGCUGCCGCAGGCCCUGAAAACCAGUGGCGGGCUCGCUGUCACACCGGGCGUAGUAGAUUUUAUCUCGCUCAGGGCGUGCUGCGGGUUCCGGCCGUUAAAAAGCCUUUUUUACCCAAGGUUGACCUCGGAUCAGGUAGGAAUACCCGCUGAACUUAA
Molecule: unclassified non-coding RNA, 248 nt
Filed under: Botryotrichum sp.
Lineage: Eukaryota; Fungi; Ascomycota; Sordariomycetes; Sordariales; Chaetomiaceae
Also listed under: 2 other names
Description: partial contains 5.8S ribosomal RNA, internal transcribed spacer 2, and large subunit ribosomal RNA
Rfam family: 5.8S ribosomal RNA (bases 1-52)
Source: RNAcentral